Molecule: unclassified non-coding RNA, 378 nt
Filed under: plant metagenome
Description: partial contains 5.8S ribosomal RNA, internal transcribed spacer 2, and large subunit ribosomal RNA
Rfam family: 5.8S ribosomal RNA (bases 1-104)
Source: RNAcentral
AAGUGCGAUAAGCAAUGCGAAUUGCAGAAUUCCGCGAAUCAUCAGAUCUUUGAACGCAAAUGGCGCCAGAGGGAUAUCCUUCUGGCAUGUCUGUUUCAGUGUCUGAGAGGUUUCACACUAAUCUUAAUGUGAUUGAAUUCGAGUUAGUUAGUUUAAUUACUAGCUCUCUCUCUUUUCUCUCAUGAAAGAUGCGCGAGGGGAUCUUUCGGUCCAAUGAAGUGGUCACAUCACUCGAAUGUGAUUUCAUUGGAAGCACCGAAUUAUCAUUUAACAACUCGCGGUAUCAUUAAACUAAUAAAAAGUGAUACUUUUUGGUAUCAUUUUUUUCUCUCUACACCCUGCAUCUGAGAUAGGCAAGAUCACCCGCUGAACUUAAGC